Cyprinodon variegatus (sheepshead minnow) is the source of this 2123-nucleotide long non-coding RNA. RefSeq lists it as uncharacterized. The transcript is spliced from 3 exons. The record is from RefSeq and is a predicted model, not a curated record. NCBI's taxonomy places the organism in Eukaryota, Metazoa, Chordata, Actinopteri, Cyprinodontiformes, Cyprinodontidae.
UUUAGUACCAGUUGCUGGGAAAAGUGCUGGACACUUCUGCUUCCAUACAUUCACUAGGAGGAUUGAAAGCUGGACCUUAGUUCUACCACUCUCCCUUAGACAGGUUCUCCUCCAGGCUGUUUUAUCAUAGUUCUACUUUUGCCACUGCUGGGCUUCUACUAGGUCCCCAAGGAUUGGCAUAUCCCGACCCAAUACAACCUGGUAUGGAAGUUUAUCCAUCACUCCAAGUGUAAGCAAAUGCUCCUGUUCAUGUACUUGCAGUACAACAUCAUCACCAUGAACACACCGGACUUUAACACAUAACGUGGUGUCUCUGGGAAGACAAUCUUGCCUAAUAAGAGUACAGCUACUACCUGAAUCUAAUAGAGCGACACAAGGCUUUCCCUGAAUAAAAAACACAGAUUGUGUGCUCCUGAGCACUUGAGGGUUCUACAGACUCAGGUUCUUCCUCUAACAAAUUAAAACACUCUGGUGAAAAACACACCAAAAAACAGCAAGUCUUACUGACUUGGGCAAUUAGCCUUAAAAUGACCAGUUAGGCCACAAGAGUGACAAACCAACUGACCUCUCCAUUUAAAUUCCCUAACACAGUUAUUGCUACUGAUUGGGGAAUUUUCUUUGGAAUACUUUGGUCUGUGUCUUUUCCUUUGGAACCAUCCACUUUUCAUACAGGUCUUUAAGGCGUGUUCGCAGCUGCUUGGGUGUCUCAUCUUCCUUCACCGUUGUGGCCCGGAACCUCGAAUAAGUCCAAGUACUUAUUUCAAAUUUUUCCAACACAGCAGUUUUUACCUUGUCAUAGUCCAUUGUGUCAUCGGUGUCCAUAGCUACAUAAGCAGCUCUUGCUUUACCACUGAGAAAUGGUGCCAGAUGUUGCAAUUCUUUGAAAUGUUGUUAAAUAAUGUUCAAUAUCUUCAUCCUCACCAUAGGGUUGCAUCUUUGAACCUUUCCAACUGGGUGGUCUCAGACUGGAUGCUUUUGGUUCCCCAGAUGUGCUUGGAAGGCUUCCUCCCUGUUGUACUGAUUAUGGCACUUUUGAUCUUACUGCAGCACUGAGAAGCCUUCCAGGAUCAGCUACUGCACCUUCCAGCUGCAUCUGAUGCUCUCGGCGUUCCAUGUGGACCUCCUGCUGAAGUAGACCGAAGUGGUGUUGCAUUUUCCUACAUAGUAAGUGAAGGAAAGUUGCUAACUAAUGUUUAAAUUUUAGCAUUACAAAUCAGAAAAAAGAAUAAGGGACAAGUGGUGAACACAAACUGAACCACUUUGUCACAGGCUGUAUCAUUUUUCCUUUUUGUUCUAAAAUAGACGAUUAAAUGGUUUCAUCUUAAGAUUUUGUUCAGUGAUACCUCUUUAAUACUUCCAUUUUUAUCAUUAGAGCUUUGUAUGAAUUAAUAACUUUAUUUCAGACAAUCCAGUAAAAUCAUACAUUUAAUGCAUACGAACAUUACGUAUAAUCAAUGAUAUAUAUCAGUAUGUUAAAUGUAUAAUUAAGUGUUUAUGUCUGAAAAAGGUAAUGAAGAAUAUGCUGGUGAAGAUUCUCAGUCAUCCAGGUCAUAGUGGAGAACCUGCUUGGAAUGCAUUAAAAUUAAAGAUUGUUUUGGGGUUUUGUGGUAAACGAUUUUGAUGAGCUAUCCCAAAAAAAACAAACAAACAAAAAAAAAACAAUCCACUGGAAUUAGUCUCCAAGUUUGAAGACGUUUCGCUUCCAGAAAGCUUUCUCAAUUAAAAAUGUCAGAAUUAGCGUUUAGUUAGAAGCUUUAUGCAGUAGCCCAAAAACUUGUUUUGAUUUAGAAAAGAUGCGAAUUGAACCAGAAGAACAGGUCUGCCCUUUAGGAAUGGGAAGUUAUUUGGGUUUUUUUGUUAGCCUGCAAUACCCCAAUACUGGGUUAUGCCUCAGAAAGGGAGGCAAUGAAGAAGUAAAACGUAUACCCCUUCCACUUUUGUGCAGUCCUUAACACAAACCCUCUUCCCAAUUCCUACUAAAGUUAUGAGUACCAUCUUUUUUAUUUGUUUAACUUUUUCUAAAUGUAAUUUAAAACUAUCAGCUUUAAUUAAUAGACAUGACAAUUUUUUUUUUACCGAACUUCAUAAGUAGCAUUAUAUUUGCAUAUACAGUAUGGGCAACA